Molecule: ribosomal RNA, 501 nt
Filed under: uncultured bacterium
Lineage: Bacteria
Description: bacterial SSU rRNA
Rfam family: Bacterial small subunit ribosomal RNA
Source: RNAcentral
UCAGGAUGAACGCUAGCUACAGGCUUAACACAUGCAAGUCAGGGGCAGCAUGGAGUUGCUUGCAAACUCUGAUGGCGACCGGCGCACGGGUGAGUAACGCGUAUCCAACCUUCCCUAUAGUAGAGGAUAGCCCGGCGAAAGUCGGAUUAAUACUCUAUGUUUCCGUUGCAGACAUCUAAGAUGGAACAAAGGCUUGCCGCUAUAGGAUGGGGGAUGCGUCUGAUUAGGUAGUCGGCGGGGUAACGGCCCACCGAGCCAUCGAUCAGUAGGGUCUGAGAGGAAGGUCCCCCACAUUGGAACUGAGACACGGUCCAAACUCCUACGGGAGGCAGCAGUGAGGAAUAUUGGUCAAUGGGCGAGAGCCUGAACCAGCCAAGUAGCGUGCAGGAUGACGGCCCUAUGGGUUGUAAACUGCUUUUAUGCGGGGAUAAAGUUCACUACGUGUAGUGUUUUGUAGGUACCGCAUGAAUAAGGACCGGCUAAUUCCGUGCCAGCCGCGGC